This 262-nucleotide long non-coding RNA is filed under the name Setaria viridis. RNAcentral describes it as "long non-coding RNA (SVIR_LNC001137)". The record is from RNAcentral. Lineage: Eukaryota; Viridiplantae; Streptophyta; Magnoliopsida; Poales; Poaceae.
GUGACGGCCGCUUCCUCCGUGCCUGUCGUUUGUAUGAUUCAGAAUACGCAGAUUGGCUGAUGCUGACCCCCUUGCUGCUGCGGUCUGUCUAUUUCAGGUACAACGCGAAGCGCAGGCACUGGCGCCGCACCAAGCUCGGCUUCUGAGCGAGGGGAUGGACCGCCUGCUGCGUCGGUAGGCUAGGGUUUAAGAGCUAUCUUAUGUUUUAUGGGUGUUUCAGUGUUUCUGCAAGAUAGGAAGUGAUUCCAGGAUGCUUUUAUUA